Molecule: ribosomal RNA, 228 nt
Filed under: Triticum aestivum (bread wheat)
Lineage: Eukaryota; Viridiplantae; Streptophyta; Magnoliopsida; Poales; Poaceae
Description: partial small subunit ribosomal RNA
Source: RNAcentral
AUGAGACCGACUGACUCGCCAUUCUGGAAGGGACUUAUGCGAACGAAUGACUUGUUCUUUCGUAGGUUCAAAUUCUUGGUUGGCAAUGGGAUGUCAACAAGAUUUUGGGAGGAUACGUGGUUAGGAGAGACGCCCCUGGCCGUCCAAUAUCCUACCCUCUAUAAUAUUGUGCAAUGUAAGGAGGAUUACGUAGGCACGGUCCUUCAAACUAUUCCCUUGAACAUCUAG